This 443-nucleotide ribosomal RNA is filed under the name uncultured bacterium. Its description in RNAcentral is "partial 16S ribosomal RNA". It matches the Rfam family "Bacterial small subunit ribosomal RNA", at positions 338 to 795 of the family's 1533-position model. The record is from RNAcentral.
CCUACGGGAGGCAGCAGUGGGGAAUAUUGGGCAAUGGAGGCAACUCUGACCCAGCAACGCCGCGUGAAGGAAGAAGGCUCUCGGGUUGUAAACUUCUUUUAUCAGGGACGAAGCAAGUGACGGUACCUGAUGAAUAAGCCACGGCUAACUACGUGCCAGCAGCCGCGGUAAUACGUAGGUGGCAAGCGUUAUCCGGAUUUACUGGGUGUAAAGGGCGUGUAGGCGGGAAAGCAAGUCAGAUGUGAAAACCAUGGGCUCAACCUGUGGCCUGCAUUUGAAACUGUUUUUCUUGAGUACUGGAGAGGCAGACGGAAUUCCUAGUGUAGCGGUGAAAUGCGUAGAUAUUAGGAGGAACACCAGUGGCGAAGGCGGUCUGCUGGACAGCAACUGACGCUGAGGCGCGAAAGCGUGGGGAGCAAACAGGAUUAGAUACCCUAGUAGUC